This 812-nucleotide ribosomal RNA is filed under the name marine metagenome. Its description in RNAcentral is "bacterial SSU rRNA". It matches the Rfam family "Bacterial small subunit ribosomal RNA", at positions 674 to 1481 of the family's 1533-position model. The record is from RNAcentral.
UGUAGCAGUGAAUGCGUAGAUAUCGAGAGGAACACCAGUUGCGAAGGCGGAUCUCUGGACGGUUUCUGACGCUGAGGCACGAAAGCUGGGGUAGCGAAGAGGAUUAGAUACCCUCGUAGUCCCAGCCGUAAACGGUGCACACUUGCUGUGGGCGGAUUCGACCCCGUCUGUGGCGAAGCUAACGCGAUAAGUGUGCCGCCUGGGGAGUACGGUCGCAAGAUUAAAACUCAAAGAAAUUGACGGGGGCCUGCACAAGCGGUGGAGUAUGUGGCUUAAUUCGAUGCAACGCGAAGAACCUUACCUGGCCUUGACAUGUAGUGGCCCGGGUGCGAAAUCACCCUUUUCUUCGGAACUGCUACACAGGUGCUGCAUGGCUGUCGUCAGCUCGUGUCGUGAGAUGUUGGGUUAAGUCCCGCAACGAGCGCAACCCCCGUGUUCUGUUGCCACCCGGAUGUAAAUCCGGAGCACUCUGGACAGACUGCCUGGUUUCAACUAGGAGGAAGGUGGGGAUGACGUCAAGUCAGUAUGGCCCUUACGGCCAGGGCUGCACACGUACUACAAUGCCUGAUAUAAUGGGAAGCAAGACCGCGAGGUGGAGCAAAUCCUCAAAAUCAGGCCCAGUUCAGAUUGUAGGCUGCAACUCGCCUACAUGAAGGAGGAAUCGCUAGUAAUGCCGUAUCAGCUACGACGGCGUGAAUACGUUCCCAGGCCUUGUACACACCGCCCGUCACAUCAUGAAAGUCGAUUGUACCCGAAGUCGCUGAGUUAACCGCAAGGAGACAGGCGCCGAAGGUAUGGUUGGUAAUUGGGAU